Molecule: long non-coding RNA, 199 nt
Filed under: Callithrix jacchus (white-tufted-ear marmoset)
Lineage: Eukaryota; Metazoa; Chordata; Mammalia; Primates; Cebidae
Description: lncRNA (ENSCJAG00000059186.2)
Source: RNAcentral
GUUCCAGGCCCCAUUCUAAUUGCUUUAUAUGUAUGAAAUGAUUCACAGCAAUUCUCCACAAUUCUUUAAGGUACAGUCUGUUAUCAUCUUUAUUGCAUAGAUGAGAAAACAAGCCCAAAGAGAGCAACAUGGAUGGAGACAGAUAAAGGAACUAACAGGAACAGAAAACCAAAUGCUGCAUAUUCUCACUUCUAAGUGG